Molecule: unclassified non-coding RNA, 240 nt
Filed under: soil metagenome
Description: partial contains 5.8S ribosomal RNA, internal transcribed spacer 2, and large subunit ribosomal RNA
Source: RNAcentral
AACGCACGAGACCUGCGGACCUGCGGAAGGAUCAUUAAUGAGAAACUGCCCCUCGCGGGUAGAUCUCCCACCCUUUGUAAACUUACCUUUGUUGCUUUGGCAGGCCCGUCUCCGAACCGCCGGCUUCGGCUGGCCAGUGCCUGCCAGAGGAUUCUAAAACUCUGUCUGUCAGUGUUGUCUGAGUCUAUAUACAAUCGUUAAAACUUUUAACAAUGGAUCUCUAGAUCGGAAGAGCACACG